This is a long non-coding RNA of Cicer arietinum (chickpea), 610 nucleotides long. RefSeq lists it as uncharacterized. NCBI's taxonomy places the organism in Eukaryota, Viridiplantae, Streptophyta, Magnoliopsida, Fabales, Fabaceae. The record is from RefSeq and is a predicted model, not a curated record.
UUUCCAAGUAGUAGCGAUGCGUUUAGGGAGUGGAUCGUCGUCGGAAGCUUCAACACGCGGAGGCCAAGCUUGAUGAUUCUUAUAACAGAGGAAUACAUGACGGUCGUAGGAUUCGACGGUGCCGGCGAGUUUUUCCGUGUACAUCUCGGGACGUGAGAAACCACUUUUGGCGACGUCAACGGUGGAGGAAGCCAUCGUAGCGAAGGGGAUGAGAAGAAAUUGAGAUUUGUUGUUGAAAUUGAAAUAAGAUAUUGAUGUUAUGAAACGAGUUGAGCUCAAAGUCAGAGAAAUAGAAUUGGAAUCACAAAGGCUAUGUUGCACAACUACGCGCCUAUUUUCACUAAGCUUUUGUUUUUCGUUUUGUUGAAGAUUGAAGUUUGAGGACGCGCUGGUGAAGGAUAAUGAGCGCGUGGGGAUGGUAGAUAUUGUUGAAGAAGAUACGAGCACGAAGCCAACCAACUGUCAAGCUCUUCCAUUGAAGUAGUCGGUCAACAUUAUCAUGUAAUGUUUAUUUUAUUUAUUUAAGUUAAUUCCUUACGUCUAAAAUGUAUCUCACGGCACUGAAUAUUAUUGUAUCAGUUGGUAACACGAUGAUUCUACCACGCUAUAA